RNAcentral lists this unclassified non-coding RNA (397 nucleotides) under Bombus terrestris (buff-tailed bumblebee). RNAcentral's name for it is "misc RNA ENSBTSG00005032714.1". The record is from RNAcentral. Lineage: Eukaryota; Metazoa; Arthropoda; Insecta; Hymenoptera; Apidae.
UAUAGGGACUGUAGGAACUCUAGGCACCGCGAAAGAUGAUGGAACUCUUAGAAAUGUAGGAACGGUGAGAGUUAUAGGGACUGUAGGAACUCUAGGCACCGCGAAAGAUGAUGAAAUUCCUAGAGAUGUAGGAACGGUGAGAGCUAUAGGGACUGUAGGAACUCUAGGCAUCGCGAAAGAUGAUGGAACUCUUGAGAUGUAGGAACGGUGAGAGUUAUAGGGAUUGCAGGAACUCUAGUCACCGUGAGAGAUAAUGUAACUCUCAAGUUUAUUCUGAUGUGAAUACGGAGGAAAGCUCGGUAUGGGUGUGCCCAAGUGGGGAGACGUUCGAAAUGUUGGAAUAUUAACAACAAAAUAUGCACCCAUUAUGAUUUCAAGCACGAAUUCUACAUAUCAU